CGCGUAGGCGGAUCUGCAAGUCCGUAAGUGAAAUCCCGCCGCUCAACGGCGGGGCUGCUUGGGAAACGGCAGGUCUGGGGACCGGUAGAGGUCGGUAGAAUUCCCGGUGUAGCGGUGGAAUGCGUAGAGAUCGGGAAGAAUACCCGUGGCGAAGGCGGCCGACUGGGCCGGAUCCGACGCUGAUGCGCGAAAGCGUGGGGAGCAAACA
RNAcentral lists this ribosomal RNA (208 nucleotides) under uncultured bacterium. RNAcentral describes it as "partial 16S ribosomal RNA". It matches the Rfam family "Bacterial small subunit ribosomal RNA", at positions 568 to 774 of the family's 1533-position model. The record is from RNAcentral.